GACAUAGACUUGAUUUAAUUUUAUUUCAACCUUGGAAUGAACUAUAUUGACAUACUUUGCUUAUUACACAGAGUGGUAAUAAGCAAACCUCUCAUCUUACAGGCAUUGACCGUGUAACACGCAUUUCACUGACUUCACCUGCUCACGCCUAACAGAGCUCUAAACUCCACCUUCUGCGGAGCUGUUUAACACAGCUUGUGGCCAUCAAUAAUUAUUCCUGCUGCAGUUCAUGUUAACAGAGCAGCAGGAAGAGCGACCAGUUAUAAAUAAUUUUGGUCUUAACCAGUGGAGACAGUAAGCCGGUACCGUCCGCUACCGAACACACAAGAGGGAAGUAGGGCGGCUGCCAGAUAAAUCCUUCAUUCAGAACCAGUCAUGGCUGCACGCUGGAUCAGAAAACAGUUCUGCUAACCAGAUAAAGUCUAAAAAGUCUCUUAUUCUGUGUCAGGGUGCUGCAGGCGUACAUGGGCUGGGCGCAUGCCUUUUUUCCCCUCUCCCUUCUCCGCAGGUGGAGGCUGACAAGCAGGGAGGCGCCGCUCGCAGGUGAUCUGCGUUCAGUCAUCAGUAGGGACGGUUCUUAAACAGGCUGCUGUCAGCACCUCAUAGCCAAAGUGUCAGCCUUAAGUGGUGGAACCUGCCUCGGAUCCCGCUCAUGAGAACCCUUUUCCUCGGCUGAGCCGGCCAGCUCUCGGCCCGCUCAGCUGCUUAGGAAAAAAAACUCAGAAAGUCCCGAUCAUCCUCGCAAGUCUCGGCGUCUACAGAGCGCCGAUCAGCUGACAGCCUCCCUGCCGCCGCCCCCGCUGCACGAGUGACCGGACCCUGCCCCGCCCCCUCGGACGCUGCCAUCUGUCAGCUACCGCACCCUCUAUGAUCACCAGAAUCCACCUAGAACCGACGAUCCGCUUGGCAGCCUCCGCCCCUGGUCCAGGCACCAGCAGCUUUUCAGUCUUUGGUGCCCCCGCAGCAGCCGAUCACUCCCCCGGUGAAUCAAUUAUAAUACCGCGAUUACCACCUCCCGCUGUUACCAGACGUCCGGAGGACUCACAACAGGUCUUGAGCUUUAUAUUUAAUAAAACUCUUAAAAACUCGGA
Long non-coding RNA from Fundulus heteroclitus (mummichog), 1091 nucleotides. RefSeq lists it as uncharacterized. The transcript has 2 exons. Lineage: Eukaryota; Metazoa; Chordata; Actinopteri; Cyprinodontiformes; Fundulidae. The record is from RefSeq and is a predicted model, not a curated record.